This is a long non-coding RNA of Fukomys damarensis (Damara mole-rat), 1866 nucleotides long. The record is from Ensembl. NCBI's taxonomy places the organism in Eukaryota, Metazoa, Chordata, Mammalia, Rodentia, Bathyergidae.
CCCAUCUAAGCCAUGAAAACCAUGCAGAAGUCACCAGCCACGGAAUGAGGAUGAGCCAGGUGCCCAGAGCAUUUAGAACAGCAACAAGUGCUUGUGGGCCUCAUAGGGAAGCCAGGCUGGGCCCUGUUCCCUGUGAUUGUCAUCAGAAUUGGGGUGAUGAUCUCUAGGGCCUGACAAAGCCCUCACCGUGCAGUAACCUUCUACCACCAACUCCUAUCGGUCCUCAUAUUGUCGCACUACGGGGUACUACAGUUUGUGAUUGAGUUAAAUAUCUAGGUAUAAAUAAGUAGUCAUUGAUAUGCACCUGAAAGUUAAAACUGCUGUGAAUCGGGCCGGGAAUUUAACAUAGUGGUUCCACCACCCGCCUCGCAACUGCAAGGUCCUGAGUUCGAUCCUGGCUACAAAAAAAAAAAAACUGGCUGUGAAUCCCCCACUCCUAUAAAUGCAGGGGUUAACAUCUGAAAUUUUUAUAACCUUUGAGGAAAACUAUUAUGGAAAUAUUUAGAACAUCUCCAUGUCCCUUAUUGGAAUUGAAGUGAAAUAAACCCAUAAUAAACAUCAUCCUAAAUAUAAAAGCAAUGACACUGAGCACUACAUCUUCAGAGAAACUUGACUCUUUGGAUGGAAAAACACAUUUCACACUGUGCCUGCCACAUUGAAGCAUCAUAUUUGCUGCAUAAAAACUUCAAAGUAUAACAAAGUUCAAAAUCAUAGCUUGCUAUUUCUAAGGAGUACACAGAUUUACACCACUAUGAAAAGAAGGGGAGGCUUUUUAUCAGGAAGGGGCUGUUUAUCUGAGGGUGGGCUCAGCUAUGGACCCCAUCAUGUGACCUCACUUCCUUGGCGAUGGGUCCAAACAGAACUUGGAACCCUGCACUCAACUGCCUCCCCGGUCACUUGGCUGAGGACAGUUAGCAGCGAACAUGCUGUGCUGCUUUCCCAGACCUCAAGGCCGCAGGCCCAGGACCCCACGAAAAGAAAACACUUGGCAACGAGUGAGAGGAUGGUUCACUUGCCCCAGAUGCCUCAGGACACUAUCCAGAAACUGCCCAAACACUAUGGGCAGCACAGGGCAGGACCCCAAGUGCCCAGAGGCGAGAGGAAGCCCAGGACAGGUGUCCCCAGGCUCAACCCUUAGCCGCUCGAAGUCACUGAGUCCAGGACAGGUCCAUGGAUGGGACACUACUAUGGGAACCCAGUACACAGAGAGCCUGGCGGAGCUCUGCACAGUGAGCACAGUGCAGGCAGGGCCGCCCCACACCAUGAUGGAGCUCCUGGAGCAGGACUUUCCGGAGAGGAAGAGCAGGUCCACCUCUUCUGUCUUUGAUUCCUCACCGGAGCUGAUAUCCCAGGCGAAUCCCCAGGAUGAGCUUGUCCUGAACCAGCUGGAGCCUCCUGAGCCUGCUGAGGCAGAGCCCCACGCUCCGGCCCACACUGACGUCCCACCUGCUGAACUCGUGCCAGCUCCACCUGCAGCUCCCGUGGCAGCUCUGGCCCCACAGCAGGAGCCAGCACCUGGAAGCCCUGCUCCACCAGGAACACAGCUGCAACUUCUGGCUCCAUGGCAGGUGUCCUCUCUUCAGAUCUACCUGGACCCAGCUCUUCACCCCUAUCUGCAAUCUCUCUCUCCUACAGAUUUACUUAUCCUUUUAUUCAUUGCUGCCCUUAUUUCCCAGAGACAGAGCAAUGAUGGAAUUCCUUUAAAUAAACUUUAAGGUUUUAGUCUUGUUUGAAAUGAUCAACCUCCUGCAUUUUCAGUGCAUUCUCGGUCUUUUGCAAUGUUGUGUAACCUUCACCACACUCCCCUUCCAAGACAUUUUCCUAAAUUCAACACCCAAAGAUAUUUCCUCUUCUUUCCCCUGCUCC